RNAcentral lists this ribosomal RNA (511 nucleotides) under uncultured bacterium. Its description in RNAcentral is "bacterial SSU rRNA". It matches the Rfam family "Bacterial small subunit ribosomal RNA", at positions 8 to 518 of the family's 1533-position model. The record is from RNAcentral.
AGAGUUUGAUCAUGGCUCAGGAUGAACGCUGGCGGCGUGCUUAACACAUGCAAGUCGAACGGAGUUUUUAAACGGAAGUUUUCGGAUGGAAGUUUAAAAACUAGUGGCGGACGGGUGAGUAACGCGUGGGUAACCUGCCUCAUACAGGGGGAUAACAGUUAGAAAUGACUGCUAACACCGCAUAAUAUAGCGAAACCGCAUGAUUUUUGCUAUCAAAUAUUUAUAGGUAUGAGAUGGGCCCGCGUCUGAUUAGCUAGUUGGUGGGGUAAAAGCCUACCAAGGCGACGAUCAGUAGCCGGCUUGAGAGAGUGACCGGCCACAUUGGGACUGAGACACGGCCCAAACUCCUACGGGAGGCAGCAGUGGGGAAUAUUGGACAACGGGGGAAACCCUGAUCCAGCGAACCGCCGCGUGAGUGAAGAAGUAUUUCGGUAUGUAAAGCUCUAUCAGCAGGGAAGAUAAUGACAGUACCUGACUAAGAAGCCCCGGCUAACUACGUGCCAGCAGCCGC